AUACGGAGGGUGCAAGCGUUAUUGGGAAUCACUGGGCGUAAAGGACGCGUAGGCGGGUUGGCAAGUCAGAUGAGAAAUCCUACAGCUUAACUGUAGAACUGCAUUUGAAACUGCUAACCUAGAGUAUGGGAGGGGGAGAUGGAAUUAGUGGUGUAGGGGUAAAAUCCGUAGAUAUCACUAGGAAUACCGAAAGCGAAGGCGAUCUCCUGGAACAUAACUGACGCUAAGGCGUGAAAGCGUGGGGAGCAAACAGGAUUAGAAACCCUAGUAGUCC
This 274-nucleotide ribosomal RNA is filed under the name uncultured bacterium. RNAcentral's name for it is "partial 16S ribosomal RNA". It matches the Rfam family "Bacterial small subunit ribosomal RNA", at positions 523 to 796 of the family's 1533-position model. The record is from RNAcentral.